CCACUUUCUGCUGAGCUUCAGGACUCUUCCAUUUUGCUGAAGGAGUAUCAGGAGAAGUGGCUUUUAGUGGAGAUUAAGGACUGGACCAAGUUAAUCCAUUUCUGCAAAAUGCCCAAGGAGCCAGCAUGACUUGGAAAUGAAGGACAAAAGGGACCCUCUGAAGAUUCAAAGACCUCUCAGGACAGUUGAUGCCAAGAAAUGGUGUCCUCUCAACUUCAAGUGUGAAAUGCUCGGAAGAGGAUGAGGAGGGCAAAGGUUCUGAAGCUGUAAGCCUUUUCAAGUGAUGUCUCUAAGAGAUUCUUUUGAUAUGAG
RNAcentral lists this long non-coding RNA (312 nucleotides) under Bos indicus x Bos taurus (hybrid cattle). RNAcentral describes it as "lncRNA (ENSBIXG00005023545.1)". Lineage: Eukaryota; Metazoa; Chordata; Mammalia; Artiodactyla; Bovidae. The record is from RNAcentral.